UGUUAUACCACAAUUCUGACCGCUAAGGCAUCGCCAUUAGUAAACGUCUGUGGUAAAUAUCUAGCUAAGUGUAAAUAUAUUGGCUCAGUAGAAGUGAUAGAAGUCAUAGAUAGAAGUGCUCAUUAGAUUCUGAGAGAUAACUUUCGCGUGUUUUUGGUGUUUCUCGAUUAGUACCCUUUGUAGAUCUAUUAUCUAUGGUAGAGAGCCAUGUAGAAAUGUUUGGCAGUUUGCACAUAAAUCAAAAUAUUAAAUUUAUUUACUGAAUAAAUUUUUAUAUGAGAUAAUACUCAAGAAUUUUUAACAAAUUUUUUUGUACAUGCCCAACAUUAACCAUUUUUUAAUCAUUGUCUAUUAACAUUGAUACACUAUUUAAUCUCAAACACAACUACAUGCACAACUGCCACCCGACAGCCGCCAGGUUAUUUUUUUAGUAUUGCUGUAGCAUUUUGUCAAGACUACUAUGUACUAUAAACCAAAUGAUAUGAAAUAAAAAUACAGACUGCAUAAAAACGACAAAAAAUGUUUUCGUUUUCGGUGUCAGUUCAUUUGGAUAAUUUAUUUACUGAUGAACGUUCGCGUUGCAAAUUGUAUGUGUCCAGUGAACACCAAGAAACUGUCGGUGAUUUUUUACUUAAAAUAAGAAAAAUAUUCGAUAUAAAAGACUCAAUUGAUUUAUAUAUAGAAGAUUUUGAAUCACUUUACUACAUUCCACCUAGCGAAGAUGUACGAAUUUUGCAAACAAAUAACAUUAUUGUAGUAAAAAGAAAUUGUAACGGAGAAAUUAAAAGUACAGGAACGUUCUACAAAAGUAAAAUAAAAAAACGAAAGCGUACUUUAUCAAUAGAAGACAAAAAUGAAGAUGAAGCAAAAGAUAAUACUUCUGAAGUUAAAGAAAAAGGGAACAAAAAGAAUAGGGCAAUGAAUAAAAAAAAAUUAAAUAACAAAUCUCAAACUAGUACAUUAAACUUGAAGGAACUUGUUGCUAAUGAAAAGGGACAAAAUGAUAUAACACUACAUAAUCAGGGGAGUUUAAAAAACAGUGAAAAUUAUCAUAGUAAUGGUCAUGCAGAGAAUCUUUGUAAUGGUGUAACACAUAUGAAAACAGACCAAAAUAUUUUACAGGAGCAAUUAUUACCAUGUUCUACAGCUUCUAAUAACACAAAAGAUUGUGAUUACGGUAAUGUUCAUAAAAUUUAUAAUCCAUCUUACAGUAGCACUACCUUUAAAACUUUAGGAACUAUGGCAAAAUCUGGAAAAUGCACAUUUACAGAAAGAAAACCCAUUCAUACAUUGAAAAUAUCAACCAUUCCUAAACUAAUUCAACCAAUUAAAGUAGUUGAUAAAGAAACACCACAAAUUGAUAAGAAAAUUGAAGAUGCAAACAAUAUUUCUGACCCUUCUCAUGAUAGUACAAUAAAAAUAUUGGAAGAUGAUUUAUAUAGAGCCAAUAAUAAAAACUCACUUGAAUUAUCCCAAAAAUUAACUGAACAUUCUGAUGCUUAUGAAGAAGGGGAAACAAAUGUAACAAAGAUUAAAAAUUCAUGUACAAGCAUAAAUUCAAUACCUACUUCAAUCGAUUCAUCUAUAAAUUACACAGGUAUUAAAGAAGAGACAGAAAAAUGUGAUAUGAACUACUUCACUGCAAAUUUUGUCACAAAAAGAAAACGUAAAAGACACAGAAAGAAAAAGUCAUGUGUCAAUAAACAAACAGAAGAUUACUGUGAAUCUACUCAACUAAAUGAAACCCCCAAAACUUCAGUAAAAUUAUCUGCACCUCUGAUACACAUAAAAUUUGCUGACGAUUACCAAAUGAAUCAGAAAGAUGAAGAAAGGUGCAAUGACUUUGAAAAACAAAAUCAACAACUAGAGUCAAGUAAAUUAGAAAUGGAUACUCCUAAUAAAAACGAAAGAGAGCAGAACACUGUUAAAAGUGUUAUUUUAAACAAUAAUGACAAUACUUUAGAAGAAAAAUGCCAUAUCGAAAAACCCAAAUCAGGAAUUAGAAUUUUAAAUGAUAUUAAAAUUUGUGAUUCAUUCGUAACUAAUUCAAAUAACGAAGACAAAACAUUUACAAAUGUAAUCACUAAUAAAAAUAAUAGUGAGUGCCCUCCAGAGUUGUUAAAUUCUAAUUUAAACCACACUAUAAAUUGCACCAAAAACAGUAAAUUCAAACCAAAAACUACCCCAAAAUGUAAUGAUAAAAGUAGAAUAUCUACUGCCAUGCAAAGGGCAAUAAAUAACUACUUCAAAGAAUUAAAUGGAAAUGGAACAUCGAAAAAAGAGACCCUUCAACAUUCAGAUUCUAGUGAUAGCUCUGAAAGUGGUUCAUGCAAUGACACAGAAAGCAAUUUUGCUGAAAAUUGUUUAAAAUCAAAAAAUAGUUCAACAUUGGAUAAAAAACAACUUAAUUGUACUGAUAAAUGUGCUGUAGAAACACUUCAAGACAAUGAAAAUUUUUUAAAUAAAGGAUGUGCACUAACUGCGGCAAAAGAAGUAUUUUCUCCUUUUUUAAUUAGUGAAUCGGAUAUUUUAAAGAAAACUUUGAUGAAUUCAAAACCGACGAAAGAUAACAUCGUUGCAUUUAAGAUAGUUGUACUGACUGAAAAUUACACACCAGAAGUAUCAAAAUUUAUAAUUGCUAAAGUGCUAGAUUUUCAAGCAGCAGAUAGUAUCGUCAAAUUCUACGUCCUAAUUAAUAUCAGAGCUCUGUCCCGUGACCCAUCUGCAAGCAGUAAACAACGAUGAUUCCUUCAACUUUCAACAUUCGAGGGAUUCUAACCUUGUGUGCUACACCUUUACCAUCAAAAUAAAUAAGAUGGCGGUGAUCAACUAAGCCAACCAAAGGGAAAAUUUUCUUUAGAAGAUACUGAGGAAAUGAAUACAAAAGAAAUUACUUGUAAAUGGGAAGAAAUAUUAGAACCUCGAUUGUUGUACUCUUAAAAAAUCGUUAUUAUCUAAAUUGUUUAUUAGUAAUGUAAAUAUUUAAGGAAUAAAAAUUUACUUAAGUUCA
RNA transcript from Agrilus planipennis (emerald ash borer), 3010 nucleotides. It is a transcript of the gene named variant-silencing SET domain-containing protein-like, with no coding region annotated. The record is from RefSeq and is a predicted model, not a curated record. The transcript is spliced from 6 exons. Lineage: Eukaryota; Metazoa; Arthropoda; Insecta; Coleoptera; Buprestidae.